Molecule: long non-coding RNA, 1496 nt
Organism: Neodiprion virginianus
Lineage: Eukaryota; Metazoa; Arthropoda; Insecta; Hymenoptera; Diprionidae
Exons: 5
Source: RefSeq, a predicted model, not a curated record
CAGCCUUUGCCACUAGUCUCAAUCAAGCCAUUCGCACCGCCGGCAGUCGGACCACGGAAUCGGACAGCCUCUCUCUUUCUCCUUCCCCGUUAUUCACUCGCCAACUCUUCACGUGUUGACAUGCGCACCGAGGGUGAAUCGGCAGGUCUCGAUUUUCCACCUCCCAGAGACGCCGCAGGACGCACCGAUGAUCGCGACCCGUGUUCAUUCCCUUUUCUGCCAAAGCCUUCGGCGGGAACUUCAUUUUACAAGAGUUCAACCCUUGGGUCUUGGAGUCUUAUUUUACCGGAAAAGAACUUCAUCCUACCCAGCAGCAUGAUGACGACGUCAUCGUGGGCGUAUUCCCGGAUCUCGCCUAGCCAGGCCCUGAUGUUAUCGAAGCUCGUUUUGUUGGUGACGUCGUAGAGAAGGAGCAAUGCUGAAAGGAGAAUUAUCGUUACCUAAUACACGUACCUACGCGCGAUGUUGGUAAAUAUGAUAGACGAGCAGAGAAGAUCACUAGCGCACCCUGUUGUUCCGGUGUAAAUAAACGGCUGGAGGACCGGCGAAUUACGAUUCAAUAUCAACUUGAACUGGUAAACAGACGAGGAGGUUCGACCAGCCCGAUUCUAUCCAGAAUAGAAAUCGACAACUUCAAGGGAUGCGGGAACGAUCACAAUCGUCGAAGCUGUUCCAUGCAUGGUGCGCGGUUUAACAGUGUGAAACCUGUCCGUGUGAAAAGUGCCGCCGUUGAGUAGAAGUUGAUUUUCCUUUUUCCAACGCGUUCCAAAAGUUCACACAGAGACAUUUUCGAACUCGAUCAGUUUUCUUCCGACACGUUGUGACUUACUUGUGAAUAAUUCAUCGCUUCGCGUACAACCGUUUGUACAUGUUGGAAAGUUUUCUCGCGUUUACGGUGUUAGGAGUGUAGUGAGUGCGAAGUGCUUCGGAGUGGUGAAAAUUCCGGAUCAUCGGAAACGGGGACAAUUUGGAUCGCGGGAUUUCCAGGGCUGAACAUUAAAAUACUGAGACAUGAGCUGGACUACUGGGUGAAGACAAGGGACACGUGCGCUGUUGAAGCAUCUUCGACGGCGUGUAAGCGGUAAUGUCUGGAGAUUUGUCCCAUCCUGUCCCCCAUGAGCCUGGUAGGACGUCUGUCACUUUAAUCCAAGCUUGUCAGCCACUGGAAAGUCCACCGGUUGGCCUUGUGCAUCUCGCCGACCAAAGUCUAAAAACUCAACGAUGAAAUUUGUUUCAUUCAAGGUGUGAAAUAACGCUGGAAUGAAUAAGAAACGAGGAUCUUACCCGGCGCUCACCGGAAAUCGCGAAAAAGUGUAUCGUCGCGUCGUAGUUUCCUGACGCCUACACCUACCGACCUUCGCAGCUCUACGCUCGCCCCUCUCGUCCGUCGAGCCGUCUUUCUGCGCGCGACGAAAGCUAGAAAAGGAUAAAGAGUGGAAGUGAAAGAGAGACGGAUCGAGAGGUCGACCCGUGACGUGUCUGCACCAUGCUUAUAC